UUUUCAUAUGUGCAGCCAGGUGCCCUUGUAAAAGCAAGGGGUAACAGGGAAUCGGGUGAAAAUCCCGAGCGGUCCCGCCACUGUAACCGAGGAGUUCUCUCUCAUUGACAUGUCACUCGAUUAGAUAAUUGGGGAAGACGAGAGAGUACCAUGAGCCGGAAGCCAGGAGACCUACCUAGCUUGCUUACACCAG
RNAcentral lists this non-coding RNA (193 nucleotides) under Aneurinibacillus migulanus. The record is from RNAcentral. Lineage: Bacteria; Bacillati; Bacillota; Bacilli; Caryophanales; Paenibacillaceae.